UUUAUAGUUCAGAUAAGUCGAAUUGUUCUUGUUUUUAAGUAUGUUACGUGACUUAGACACUUGAUGAUUUACAUAUAAUAAAAUAUAAUAUGAAGUCAUUAUUAUUGCCUGGUAAAAAUAAAGAAUAAAAGAAAAGAAAAGAGAAAAGUGGUAUGAAGCAUGAAUGGUCCAAAAUAUAUGUGUCUUGAUAUGUAUAUUGAAUCAAGUGUCUCAUUGGGUUUUUUAUCUCUGAGUGAUAUCUGUUCCCCUAGCCCUUCGAGGUAUCUGUUUCUCCCUCCCCCAUUUGGUCUGGAAAGACGUAAGAGAACCGCUCCCAGUGGAUGACGGUGUACCCUCUGACGAGAGUGGUAACGCGAAUAUCUAUUAGGGGUCACCCUUAGCUAAGUGUUGUCGUGACUGUAGAUAUUAAAUCGGGCCACUAUGGUUGGUACGACCGUGGUCGUAGCUCGUACUAUGGUUUGGCCAGCCAGAAAUGGGCUUGAGCAAAUUGUCGUAUCUGUAUCUGAUUUGGUCAUUCCAUCUGGAUAGUUGGAAAUCUGUAU
RNAcentral lists this long non-coding RNA (542 nucleotides) under Carica papaya (papaya). Its description in RNAcentral is "long non-coding RNA (CPAP_LNC004757)". The record is from RNAcentral. Lineage: Eukaryota; Viridiplantae; Streptophyta; Magnoliopsida; Brassicales; Caricaceae.